This 1206-nucleotide unclassified non-coding RNA is filed under the name uncultured fungus. RNAcentral describes it as "sequence contains 18S rRNA gene, ITS1, 5.8S rRNA gene, ITS2, 28S rRNA gene". The stretch from base 345 to 1206 matches the Rfam family "Eukaryotic large subunit ribosomal RNA", at positions 1 to 961 of the family's 3401-position model. Lineage: Eukaryota; Fungi. The record is from RNAcentral.
GGAAGGAUCAUUUCAUUGUUUAUACAUUUAAAUCGUUGAUAUGUAGUUUAUUUGUCCAAAUGAAAGUUUUAAAAUUAUAAAAGGUUUUCAGUUAACAACGGAUACCUCGGUUCUCACUACGAUGAAGAACGCAGCGAAUCGCGAUAGGUAAUGCGAAUUGCACAUUUUCGUGAAUCAUCAAAUCUUUGAACGCAAGUUGCACUUUUGGGUAUUCCUGAGAGUAUGCUUUUUUGGGUGUUGUUCAUCAAUGAUACAACAGAUAUUGUUUGGUUGCUGAAAGGGAGCCAAAUCAAUUAAGAUACGAGUAUGUGAGUUCUUGAAUUCAACAAAUCUACUCUGUAUUUCAACCCCAAAUAAAGUAAGAUUACCCGCUGAAUUUAAGCAUAUAAGUAAGCGGAGGAAAAGAAACUAACCAGGAUUCCCUUAGUAACGGCGAGUGAAGAGGGAUCAGCUCAAACCGAAAAUCUCAACUGCUUGCAGUUGCGAAUUGUGGUCUGUCGAGGUAUGGUCAGUGGAUUGGGGAUAAAAGUCUGUUGGAAAACAGCAGCAAAGAGGGUGAGACUCCCGUACUUUAUCUUCAUCUAUCCGCGUACGAUCUGCCUUCUAAGAGUCGGGUUGCUUGGGAUCGCAGCCUUAAAUGGGUGGUAAAUUCCAUCUAAAGCUAAAUACCAGUGAGAGACCGAUAGCGAACAAGUACCGUGAGGGAAAGGUGAAAAGAACUUUGAAAAGAAAGUGAAAAGUACUUGAAAUUGUUAACUGCCAAGCGAUCAGAUUGAGUGUGUUUGUUUCUUGGAAGGACGAUGGUAUACGUUUGUAGAGUGGGUAAGCAUAUGAAUGCUGAGCCUCUGCUUGUCUACCUUGUCCCUCCCAGAACCAAACGAAAUCACUUUGAUUGACCCGUCUUGAAACACGGACCAAGGAGUCUGACGUAUAUGCGAGUCGUAGAGUGUCAAACUCGAAAGGCGUAAUGAAAGUGAGUGGUUGUUUUCGAUUUCGAAUCGAACCGCAUCGCCCGGCUCUCCAUUGUGAGUUGUUCGAGGCCGAGCAUACACGUUAGGACCCGAAAGAUGGUGAACUAUGCCUGAGCAGGGUGAAGCCAGGGGAAACUCUGGUGGAGGCUCGUAGCGAUACUGACGUGCAAAUCGUUCGUCGGACUUGGGUAUAGGGGCGAAAGACUAAUCGAACCAUCUAGUAGCUGGUUCCCUC